Molecule: non-coding RNA, 3091 nt
Organism: Xyrichtys novacula (pearly razorfish)
Lineage: Eukaryota; Metazoa; Chordata; Actinopteri; Labriformes; Labridae
Source: the annotation of a GenBank genome assembly
CCGAUCUAAAGCCUUUAGUGAUGAUUCUGUGAUGCAAAACAUGGGGCACUCUUAACUCCAUGAAGACUCUGCAACCCGGGACUUGAGGCACACCCACACUGGGCGUAAGUAUGUUUCACCAUCAGAGUCCAUUUUUUUGGCUAGUGUAAGUGUUUUGCACUGCAGUCAGGCACGAUGUGUUUUCUUGGCUGUAACGUGCUUGAAACAGUGCAGUGGAGCACCUGAUACUUUCACCCAAAUGGCAACCCACUUAUCCAUGGAAAGAAAACAGUGGGACCUGAGUUCUGUCAGGCUGUCAAGAUUGCUCAUCAAAAGUAGCAGGAAAAGUCUUGUAAAAUUGUGAUAUUUGUAUUGACAGGAAAUAGAGGAAUUAACAGUUUACUGGAUAAUGAUUUAUACUGGUGAAUGCAUAAUUAACACUGCAAAACUUACACAAGGGAACCAGGAGGACUCCACUGACAGUGCCAGAAAUUAGAUGGAUGUAAACAUUAAAAUAAAACAGUGCAAACCACAGACUGUAUAUCGAAUGGACGCCGUCUGCCUCCUCUCUGGGUGAAGCCACUACGAGAACAGCACCCUCUGUUGAUGGGCUGCAGUAUAGGUCAUAAAUCCCGCCUUCGCCAGCAAAGCUUAUGGAGCUGUGGUCAAACUUUAGAAAUUUAUUACACAGAACAUACAUUUUUCUCCCCCCUGCUUGCGUUGUUUUUUUCAUAUCAAUAGAUAUCGAUAUAUGUCACGAUGUAAAAGAUUAAAUUUAACAGUGCUUAAUGGUAUUUUGUCUUUCGCAAUACAAGAAGCUACUGCAUCUUUGAGGUCUUUGUAUCUUUUUGACGUUUUGUUGUAUGGUGUUGCAUUAGACAGAAGGAGGUGCCAGUUUAGUGUCCAGUUUGGCAGAGAAGACUGCUGGUGGGUUUUUAAACCACUUGCAAAUAUUCAUGUUUUGCUGCUGCUAGCUAUGAAAUAUAACCUUGCUGAAAGAGCAUACAGCUAACAGCUUGCCGCAUGCAAAGGGUUCUGACCCGGGACCUCACAGGCAAUAGUACUUUAUACCAAAAGUGAGCUUUUGCCGGCGAGGCGGAUGGACAUGUUCACACUAAACAGGGCACAGACAGGAGGUUGUGCUGAGUGUUAUGAGCACCAAUACUAACCUAGCUGAGUGCUUAACUGAGUCUGGAGUAGGGUAGACCAAAAAGCACAAUACUAACCUAGGCCUAGCAUAACCAAGGACACAUUUUACUCAGCACAACAUCCUGUCGGUGCCCUGUUGUAGUGUGAGCAUGGCCAUCCACUUGCAGGGGUUCUGUUCCCCUGCAAGUGGUCAAGAAUUUGUGUUUUACCAAUAUGCGUCCUCGGUUGUGCUAGGCCUGGUGAGUCUUGGCGCUCAUAAUGCUCAGCACAACCUUCUGUAGGUGCCCUGUUGUAGUGUGAACAUGGCCAUCGCCGGCAAAGGCUCACCUUUGCUAUUGCAAAGCAUUAUUGCCAGCGAGGUCCUGGACCAGAACCCUUUGCAAGCGGGUCCUAUGUAUAACAGAGGUUAUAAAUAGGACCCAUUUCAGUCACCAGAGUCAGUCCACCCAAUCCUUGGAGUGUGAUGUAGAGCCGGGACCUCGGAAGAGGUUUGAGGAUGCUGCCUCGGUUGUUCUGGGCAGGUGAGCAUUGGCGCUCAUAUUGUUUGGCACAAUCUCCUGUCGGUGCCCUGUUGUAGUGUGAGCAUGGCCAUUCGCUAGUAGGGGUUCGGGUCCAGGACCUCGCCGGCAGAAAGCUCACCUUUGGUGGUGAUGCUUCCAGUGCUCUUAGUUAAGUAUUUUCUUCCUUUGAUCUCUCUUUCCAUUUUCUUUCUAUCUUUCCCUUUCUCUGUGGGAAUCAAUUCAACUAUGAAAUAUCCCAAUAGCCCCAUAUUGCGAUAUGUGCAUGUGAGGUAUUUGUGCAGACAGAAUGGUAAAGCACAGUGUCAGGUGCUGUUGCCAAAGGGCAAGACAGAUGUCUCUGGCAGAGUCGUUUGGUGCUGCAGGCAGAAACUAUCCAGGUACAGAGGGAGAAAGUGUGGAACUCUAAGCGGUGCUAAGCCCUGUUGCUGUUGGAGUUGUUCCAAGUUAAUGAAUAGGAUAAUCAAAAAGUAACAAAUAGUACAUGAUUCAAUAAAAUACAAUAUAAUCCAAUACUAUAUGUUUUGGUACAAUUAAAUAUGAUAAAUACUAUACGAUUCAUGAUAGACUUUAUUUGUUCCCUUGAAGAAAUGUGAAGUGCUGUAUCUUCUCAGCUGCCUCCACAAUAGUGCCAAUAAAGAAAUGAAUUAAACAAUGCUAAAGACCAGCAAUAAGCUAUGUGCAAACAGAGCACACAUACCAGAGACACCCCAGCAAAUAAGCAACACAUUUUGUUUAUUAUCCAUGUUGCACAAGAGGACAGACCAUAGGGGAAAUAUAAAAGCUGAAGACAUGUACAUCGUGACACUAUUGAACAACCCCAAGUACCAAGAAACCGUUGCUGUACGAUUGCUGAGGCUAGACCUGGUGCUUGUGUUUGCAAAAGAGGGUUGUUCUCUUCGAAACAACCACACCAUGAAAUUGUAAUAUGGCAUGUGGAAGUCAACCAAAGGGAGGGGAAAACACACACUGCGCUGGUGUUAAAAUGCAGAAAACAAGCCCAGGCUAUAUCACUGAAUUUAUGUCUUGGAUCAUCACUAGAUAAAAGCACAAUACACCCGUACCUUCAAGCAACUGCAUCAAAUAUGUUUGUUCUUAACAAACAUGUUUCUCAAUACUUUCUUUGUGUUUCAAAUUGAUUUUUUUCUGGCAGUAUCAGGAAUGCAGGACCAGGGUGUAAAGCAGUAGCUACCUGACGAUAUAUGAGAAAAUGUCUCCUUCACAAAUGUCGUAUUAAAGGUUUUGAGCUGCAUCCGCAUGGUGAGUUGUAUGUCUCCUCAAUCAAUGUGACUUUGUUUUGUCUUGAUGCAUCAAAGAGUCACAGAUAGUUUUAUGCAUCAUAAAAUAAAGCUGCUGAUCAUUUUCCCAACAGCAAACAUUGUAAAUUUAUAUGUUAAUGAUGUUUCUGUUUUCCUCCAGAACUUGUCCGUGCAUCUAGUUUGAAG